Molecule: ribosomal RNA, 460 nt
Filed under: uncultured bacterium
Lineage: Bacteria
Description: partial 16S ribosomal RNA
Rfam family: Bacterial small subunit ribosomal RNA
Source: RNAcentral
CCUACGGGGGGCAGCAGUGAGGAAUAUUGGUCAAUGGGCGCGAGCCUGAACCAGCCAAGUCGCGUGAGGGAUGACGGUCCUACGGAUUGUAAACCUCUUUUGCCGGGGGGCAAGCGUGCGUUCGUGAACGCGCGUCGAGAGUACCCGGAGAAAAAGCAUCGGCUAACGCCGUGCCAGCAGACGCGGUAAUACGGAGGCUGCGAGCGGUAUCCGGAUUUAUUGGGGUUAAAGGGGGCGAAGGGGGGAUGCCAAGUCAGCGGUAAAAAUGCGGUGCUCAACGCCGUCGAGCCGUUGAAACUGGCGUUCUGGAGUGGGCGAGAGGUAUGCGGAAUGCGUGGUGUAGCGGUGAAAUGCAUAGAGAUCACGCAGAACUCCGGUUGCGAAGGCAGCAUACCGGCGCCCUACUGACGCUGAGGCACGAAAGCGUGGGUAUCGAACAGGAUUAGAUACCCCGGUAGUC